Molecule: ribosomal RNA, 253 nt
Filed under: uncultured bacterium
Lineage: Bacteria
Description: partial 16S ribosomal RNA
Rfam family: Bacterial small subunit ribosomal RNA
Source: RNAcentral
UACAGAGGGGGCAAGCGUUAUUCGGAAUUAUUGGGCGUAAAGGGCGCGUAGGCGGCCUGGCAAGUGGAAGGUGAAAUCCCUCGGCUUAACCGAGGAACUGCCCUCCAAACUGCUUGGCUUGAGUCCGGGAGAGGUGAGUGGAAUUCCCAGUGUAGCGGUGAAAUGCGUAGAUAUUGGGAGGAACACCAGUGGCGAAGGCGGCUCACUGGACCGGAACUGACGCUGAGGCGCGAAAGCGUGGGGGGCAAACGGG